CCUACGGGAGGCAGCAGUAGGGAAUUUUCGUCAAUGGGCGCAAGCCUGAACGAGCAAUGCCGCGUGAACGAGGAAGGUCUUCGGAUCGUAAAGUUCCGUUGAAGGGGAAAAAGAGCGGAGAGAGGAAAUGCUUUCUGAUUGAUCUUACCCUUCGAGGAAGUCACGUCUAACUACGUGCCAGCAGCGGCGGUAAUACGUAGGUGGCGAGCGUUAUACGGAAUGAUUGGGCGUAAAGGGUGCGUAGGCGGUCUGCUAAGUCUGGAGUGAAAGGUACCGGCCCAACCGGUACAGGGUAUGGGAACUGGCGGGGUAGGGGGGAGGAGGGGGCGGUGGGACUCCGUGGGUAACGGGAGAAAGCGU
RNAcentral lists this ribosomal RNA (360 nucleotides) under uncultured bacterium. Its description in RNAcentral is "partial 16S ribosomal RNA". It matches the Rfam family "Bacterial small subunit ribosomal RNA", at positions 338 to 691 of the family's 1533-position model. The record is from RNAcentral.